GUGACAGCCCCGUACACAAAAAUGCACAUACUGUGAGCUCGAUGAGUAGGGCGGGACACGUGGUAUCCUGUCUGAAUAUGGGGGGACCAUCCUCCAAGGCUAAAUACUCCUGACUGACCGAUAGUGAACCAGUACCGUGAGGGAAAGGCGAAAAGAACCCCGGCGAGGGGAGUGAAAAAGAACCUGAAACCGUGUACGUACAAGCAGUGGGAGCACGCUUAGGCGUGUGACUGCGUACCUUUUGUAUAAUGGGUCAGCGACUUAUAUUCUGUAGCAAGGUUAACCGAAUAGGGGAGCCGAAGGGAAACCGAGUCUUAACUGGGCGUUAAGUUGCAGGGUAUAGACCCGAAACCCGGUGAUCUAGCCAUGGGCAGGUUGAAGGUUGGGUAACACUAACUGGAGGACCGAACCGACUAAUGUUGAAAAAUUAGCGGAUGACUUGUGGCUGGGGGUGAAAGGCCAAUCAAACCGGGAGAUAGCUGGUUCUCCCCGAAAGCUAUUUAGGUAGCGCCUCGUGAAUUCAUCUCCGGGGGUAGAGCACUGUUUCGGCAAGGGGGUCAUCCCGACUUACCAACCCGAUGCAAACUGCGAAUACCGGAGAAUGUUAUCACGGGAGACACACGGCGGGUGCUAACGUCCGUCGUGAAGAGGGAAACAACCCAGACCGCCAGCUAAGGUCCCAAAGUCAUGGUUAAGUGGGAAACGAUGUGGGAAGGCCCAGACAGCCAGGAUGUUGGCUUAGAAGCAGCCAUCAUUUAAAGAAAGCGUAAUAGCUCACUGGUCGAGUCGGCCUGCGCGGAAGAUGUAACGGGGCUAAACCAUGCACCGAAGCUGCGGCAGCGACGCUGAUGCGUUGUUGGGUAGGGGAGCGUUCUGUAAGCCUGUGAAGGUGUGCUGUGAGGCAUGCUGGAGGUAUCAGAAGUGCGAAUGCUGACAUAAGUAACGAUAAAGCGGGUGAAAAGCCCGCUCGCCGGAAGACCAAGGGUUCCUGUCCAACGUUAAUCGGGGCAGGGUGAGUCGACCCCUAAGGCGAGGCCGAAAGGCGUAGUCGAUGGGAAACAGGUUAAUAUUCCUGUACUUGGUGUUACUGCGAAGGGGGGACGGAGAAGGCUAUGUUGGCCGGGCGACGGUUGUCCCGGUUUAAGCGUGUAGGCUGGUUUUCCAGGCAAAUCCGGAAAAC
This 1180-nucleotide ribosomal RNA is filed under the name Escherichia coli. RNAcentral's name for it is "partial 23S ribosomal RNA". It matches the Rfam family "Bacterial large subunit ribosomal RNA", at positions 364 to 1550 of the family's 2925-position model. Lineage: Bacteria; Pseudomonadati; Pseudomonadota; Gammaproteobacteria; Enterobacterales; Enterobacteriaceae. The record is from RNAcentral.